Molecule: ribosomal RNA, 441 nt
Filed under: uncultured Clostridium sp.
Lineage: Bacteria; Bacillati; Bacillota; Clostridia; Eubacteriales; Clostridiaceae
Description: bacterial SSU rRNA
Rfam family: Bacterial small subunit ribosomal RNA
Source: RNAcentral
ACCUACGGGAGGCAGCAGUGGGGAAUAUUGCACAAUGGGCGAAAGCCUGAUGCAGCAACGCCGCGUGGAGGAUGAAGGCCUUCGGGUUGUAAACUCUUGUCUUCUGGGACGAUAAUGACGGUACCAGAGGAGGAAGCCACGGCUAACUACGUGCCAGCAGCCGCGGUAAUACGUAGGUGGCGAGCGUUGUCCGGAUUUACUGGGCGUAAAGGAUGCGUAGGCGGAUAUUUAAGUGAGAUGUGAAAUACCCGGGCUUAACUUGGGUGCUGCAUUUCAAACUGGAUAUCUAGAGUGCGGGAGAGGAAAGUGGAAUUCCUAGUGUAGCGGUGAAAUGCGUAGAGAUUAGGAAGAACACCAGUGGCGAAGGCGGCUUUCUGGACCGUAACUGACGCUGAGGCAUGAAAGCGUGGGGAGCAAACAGGAUUAGAUACCCGGGUAGUC